Non-coding RNA from Chrysemys picta bellii (western painted turtle), 2562 nucleotides. Lineage: Eukaryota; Metazoa; Chordata; Testudines; Emydidae. The record is from RefSeq and is a predicted model, not a curated record.
AUUUCUCACAAGCUUAUAAGACUAGCCACAGCUGUGAUUUUAUCCAGUGUAUUUCAAAACCUGACAGAAGUCAAAAGCAUCAACAAGAUAUUGGGCUGAUACUCUGGGCUGGGAAACAAAAUACCAUUCACAUCAAUUAACUUUAGUUCCUAUCUUUAAUGCCAUCACAGUGCCCUAGUGCAGUCUAAUAUUGGCUGUUGCGUCUGUCCCUUCAUUUGUGAGUAAUUUUUCUAUCUGUAUCAGCCUGGGUGUGCCUUCCUGCUUGUCUGGUUGCCCUUGGGUGUGCCUGUCUUUCCUCCUUCAGAUUGAAUUUUCCUUAGCAUAUGACAAAAAGAGUACAUUUGCAUUGCUCACUUACUAAGAUAUGUAUAUGGAGCUCUGGAUCACAUGCAUGAAAAAUAAAAAGAGAAAUGCACUGCAGUAACAGUCCUCUGGUUCGACCAUAUCUGCACCUGAUCACACCUACAGGAUGAAAAACCAUUUAGACAGAUGACUAAGGGCAAGAUACUGCUCCCCCUGAAGCUAACAAGGCCCUGAAGAUGAGGCUCCUGGGUGCUUGGAGGUGGAGAGCUGGAGCUGCCACUCGAUCUAGCAUUGGAAUCAGGAGGUCAUCAUAAGAGAUUAAGGUAUCAGGAAUCAGGGCUUGCUGCCCUUCCAAGAGUACACCAGGAUUCUAGUAGUAGUUGAUCUCCUGAUGAAGAUGGCACAUUUUAUACCAUGUUGCGGCCUCUCCACCACCCAGGAAAUAGCCUGUCUAUUCAAAGACAACAUCUUUCACCUUCAUGGGUUGUCCACAAGCAUAGUAUCCAACUGGGAGUCCCCGUUCAUUUCUUGCUUUUUGUGGGAAUUUCUGCAUCUUUUUGGCAUCAAACCUCGUACCUCAACUGUUGAGUGAGUCAAUCAAGUCCUGAAGCAGGACCUAGGCUGCUUACUAAACUACCAGGACGAUUGGCUGGAACUCAUUCCCCACACCGAAUUCGCCUACAACUCCACACAUGCCCCGAAUCAACAGACCCUUUUCUUCACAAAUUAUGGGCUCCACUCUUGGUAUCAGCUCAAAAUCUUCCUCAACAUUCACCAAGUACACAGGGCUGCCUAUGGCCUGGUUGUCUACAGAAUUUGUAUAGUUGGGGGUGCUGAGAGCACUUGACUCAAGCUGUAAACUCUGUAUAUAAUGGAAACCACUUCAAGCCAGGGGGUGCAGCGGCACACCUAGUUCCAGCACCUAUGCAAGUGCAUCAAGGACUCAGGCACCAGUUAGAAGAGACUAAGACAACAUACAAAUACCAUGCUGACACUCACCAUCAGACGACCCCCAACUUCACAGUAAAUGACAGGGUUUCGCUUGUGCAUCCAUGAAGCUGGGCCACAAGUACUAAGGCCAUUUGCAAUCACAGAACAUAACUCAGUAAAAUUUUGAUUGCAGCUGCCAGAAUCCCUUAAGAGUCACCCUGUGUUCCACAUCUCUCUCUUGAAAUCUUUUGUUGAAAAUCCCUUCCCGCACUGCUCUACUCCUUCCCUGCCGAUAACCAUGCAGGACCAAGAGGAAUACAUGAUCCAGCAGAUUCUGGACUCCUGCCGAGUCCAGGGAAGACUCCAAUAUCUAAUUGACUGGGAUGGCUAUGACCUGGAGGAGCGGCCAUGGGAACAUGUGGAACACGCUCAUGUCCUGAACCUCCUGCUUGCCUUCCAUUGGGCCUUCCCCGAGAAACCCAGCCCAAGUGCUCCUGGAGAGCAACCCCAAAAGGAGAGAGGUGCUGUCAGGGCCAGACCAGCUAGGAUCAGCUGUUGGCCUUCUCCUUGAAUAACAUCACUAUAGGCAACCAAUGAGCCCCACUGCACUGCCUUGGAAUUGACAGAAUAGCCACAGCACCUCAUUGGCUGUUUGUUUAGCAGCCCUGCUUACAGGCCUGGCAUCCACAGGAGAUCAAUGGCUGCUGAAUGUGAACCACACCCACAGCUGUGCUUGCCUGGCUCUUGCUUUCAGCCCUUGCUCCAGCCUACCUCCACUCCUUGGUCCUGCCUGGUUCCUGUCUUGCUCCUGCCUUGUUCUUGAACCUUCUUCUGCUCCACCUACCACCUGCACAGGCUUCUGACCUCUGGGUUUGAUCCUCAGCUCCACCUCUGGCUUAUGACUCUGGUUUACCGUACAUCUCUGACAUUUGGCUUCUGUGCCUGUGGUACUGAUCCUCAGCUCAUUCCUGGACUCCAGGGCCAUCCUUACCCAUACACAAAGUAUGCAGCUGCGUAGGGCACCAGGAAAUUUGGGGCAGCCCCUCCCGCCCUGCUUUCCGCCCACGGAGGCCUGGGGCUCCACCAUAGGGCACCAAAAUAGCUAGAGAUGGCCAUGCUGGAUUCUAACCACCCUGGACCCAGCUCUAACCUGUAGACUGAACUCUCAUUUCAACCGUUAGGCCUGACUGCCUAUGGCCUGGUUGUCUACAGAAAUAUGAUCUAGAUUAAAUUACUAUAAGAUAGGUGCAUAUCUGGUUGAAAGACUGUACUCAAAGAGCAGUUAUCAGUCUUAGAAUUGAAGGACUGGAAGGGACCUCGAGAAGUCAU